Long non-coding RNA from Tyto alba (common barn owl), 2728 nucleotides. RefSeq lists it as uncharacterized. The transcript is spliced from 2 exons. Lineage: Eukaryota; Metazoa; Chordata; Aves; Strigiformes; Tytonidae. The record is from RefSeq and is a predicted model, not a curated record.
GGGGGGGGUUGGGGGGGAGAAACAGAAAGAAAGAAAGAAAAAGGAGGUUUUAGCACCGGGAGCCGCCGCAGCCCUGCGGGAGCACCCGGGGAGCUCGGUGGGUGGGAGGGCGGCCUCCCGCCGCGGCUCUGCCCGCCGCUUCCCCACGGGAGGUCUCCACCUGCCCGAGGGGGGAGCGGCAGCGGCCCCGGCCCCGGCGCCCCCGCUCGGCCCCCGCGGGGCAACGGCUGCGGGGCCCGGGUCCACCCCGGCAGCGCCGCGGGGUCCUCUCCCUAAGGACAAGGUCAAGGAUGAAGGGUCAAUGUCAAGUUGUCUUAGCGGUGGAAGGCGACCGCCCGCGGCAGCACGCCCCGCUUCCCGCGUUUCUGGUGUCCUUGAUGGAUUUGAAAGUGACAUUUUGAGGGGGGAAACGCACCCAGGCAACGAGAAGAUGUGAGGGCUUGGCUUUUCCUUCAAAGGGCGGAGGAGUGCCGAUGGGACAUUUCAGGGACCGUGGGAAGGCUGAAUUCUGCCCCAGCGAACCCCCGGAGGUAAGCUGCAGUGCCACGGCUCCCUGACAAGCGUACGGAACCCGUCGGCCGCAGGGGCAAGCUGCUCGUCUGAUUUCUGCGUGGACGCCACGGGAAAGUGAAUUUGAAUGUAAACACGCGUGAGGCGGCCCGGGGAGGCGCGUUGGGGAGGGGACCGGUGUGGCAGUGCCAUCGGCUCCGCCGGCGGCAGCCGGGCUGGGGCGGGGGGGCCGGGGCCUGGCUGCCCCCCCCCGCCGCCGCCAGAGACAGAACCGGAUUUACAGGGGUGAACCUGCCGCCCGGGCAGCUGAAGGAAGUCUGUAGGACUUCUGCAUCUCCUUCCAGCUUCGGCUGCUUCUUGCUGCGCAAUUACAUUUUCCCGGACUGAUUCCCCCACCCACGCUUGUUUGUGAAAAGACAAAGGUGACAAGUAACGAACCGCCUACGCGCGGAGCAGGGAAAGCAGCUAUGCUCAAAUGAUCAACUGACCCCCACUCGCGCUCCUGCUGAAGCGGGGGGGGGGGGGAAGCGCCUUUUUAAGGGCCUCGUUAUGAUAAUUCUCGGCCAGAAGUAAUAGUGCUAACAGUUUUGUAAACAAAAAUAUGAAUGAUAAUUUCCCCCCAAGUUAACUCUAGAAAUAGUUGUAUAUAAAUAGCAUCCAUGUAUUCAAAUAUAGUUGCUUCUCUGCAUAAGGAAGGAAUUUAUAUGCAAAACCUCGAAUAUUCAGUCAGAUGGAUUAGAAGUGGCUUAUUUUGUGACUCAUCAGUGUCUAAAAUCCACAGACUUUGGUAGUGUUACCUGUUGCUAACUUAUUGCAGAACUAGACCUGCAAGUCUUACAACAGUCCCCCAUAAUUUUUUUUUGUUGUACAGUUCAGAACAAAGCCCCCAUCUUCUGUUAAUCAUGCCACAUAACAAAAAUAAUUAAGUAAAGUGCAGCUAGGGUGCAGCAGGCCUCCUGCAAGUAAAGUUGCCCGGCCAGAAAAUGCUGUCAUACCUCCUUCAUUGCCUGGGUCUGUCAAAAACCUUUGCAGAAAACAACUUGUUAGUCCUGAUCAUUUCCUCUCCGGAAUGAUAAAGGUGCUUCUCCUAAACCAGAGAGAGUUGCUCCAAAAUCAGCAGAAAAAAUACCUUCUGGAUGUUAUCACCGGGCGUUGCAAGGAGUAAAAUAAGUGAGUGUUCCCGCAGCUCUCUAAUUUGUCUGAUACUCGCUGGAGGAAAAAAACCCACCGAGAGUGGCUGGGAGUAAGGGGUUGUGAGAAGGAGAAUAGAAACUUUCACUGUGACUUGAACGUGAACUUCCUGCAAUGUGGGGCACGUGCAGCUUUUCACCUUUUCUUCACGUUCUGGAUCAAAUCCUUCCUGUUUUGAUCUAAUAUAGAUAUCAUUAUUUAAAAUAUGACUGUACUAGUCGUGAACGCCAUGUAACUAAUCUUGACAACACACCUAUAGCUUCACUUCGUGCCAGGAAUUGAUUGGCUUUAAUCCAAUUGUUAAAACUCGCUUUUCAGCCUUUAUUAUAGUUACUCUCUAGUAAUGUGUGGGUGGAUUUGUUUGUAAUUUAGCUUAGGCUGUCCCUGGCAUUGCACCAUAGCUCGUACCUAGUACAGAACUGUCUGUAACAUCAAACUGGAAAAAAAUCAAAACAAAACACGGGGGCAGGUGUGAGGGCAAUGACUUUAUCAUCCCUCCGGACAGUGGUGGGGAGCUGGAAUUGUUAAGCUAACGUCAGCGGGCAAUAAAAGCCUCUUGGCAAACCCUGCCAACACAAACUAGGGCAGGAACACGAUCAAAUACGAAAUCCAACUUCUCUGACACUCUGGCUUUGCAUCGUAAGCGGCGUUUCAGUGUGGCCUCAGCCCGCCCGGAGACCUUGCGCGGUUCGGCCGCCGCCAGACACCCGCACCCGCGGCAGCGGCCGCAAGCAGGCUUGAAACAAUUCCCGGAGGUAGUUUGCUGGGGAACACGGACUCUCCUAGAGGGACACUUUAACUUUUCAUGCGCCCCUACCCGCCCGCAGCGCUUGCUCGCUGUGCCUCCCCGCCGCCGGACCCGCCGCGCUGGGUGGUCGCGCUGGGCCCCCCCCGUAGCUCCCCCCGGGGCCAGCCCGGCGGCUGCGGCAGGCAGCAGGGAGCUCGCAGGCUCCGAACAACUCGUGUAAAAACCUCACGGGCAGACGAGAGAAACAAUAAAGAGCUGUGUUUGCUAAAAACGGCAAAA